RNAcentral lists this ribosomal RNA (489 nucleotides) under uncultured bacterium. RNAcentral describes it as "bacterial SSU rRNA". It matches the Rfam family "Bacterial small subunit ribosomal RNA", at positions 903 to 1397 of the family's 1533-position model. The record is from RNAcentral.
AAAUGAAUUGACGGGACCCCGCACAAGCGGUGGAUCAUGUUGUUUAAUUCGAAGAUACGCGAAAAACCUUACCAGGCCUUGACAUACCAUGCAAAGCUAUAGAGAUAUAGUGGAGGUUAACAUGGAUACAGGUGGUGCAUGGUUGUCGUCAGCUCGUGUCGUGAGAUGUUGGGUUAAGUCCCGCAACGAGCGCAACCCCUAUUGCUAGUUGCCAUCAUUAAGUUGGGGACUCUAGCGAGACUGCCAGUGAUAAACUGGAGGAAGGUGGGGACGACGUCAAAUCAUCAUGCCCCUUAUGGCCUGGGCUACAAACGUGAUACAAUGGCUGUAACAAAGAGCAGCGAGAGGGCGACCUUAAGCAAAACUCAUAAAAGCAGUCUCAGUUCGGAUUAGAGUCUGCAACUCGACUCUAUGAAGCAGGAAUCGCUAGUAAUCGUAGAUCAGAAUGCUACGGUGAAUACGUUCCCGGGGUUUGUACACACCGCCCGU